UGCUGAACAGAGGCGCAGUAUCCUAGUCAGAUCUUCCGUUUCCUAAGAGGGGCCUAAAAAUCCCUUAAAGGGCACAACUGUGAAACCUCUGGUGCCUGCUUCUUACGCCCAGUUUGGGGUGGGUGCUGGACGGAAGGUGCGCUUUCGCGUGCCUGCGCUCGUAGGGCGCCCUCCAAUGGCAUGGAGGACCCGACCCUGCGGUCGUGGAGACCUGCUGUUGUGCGUCGGCGUACUCCCCUGGUGGUAAAGCGACCGGCGUACGAGGCAGAUGUAUGGAAACCUGCAUUGCGGUGCUACCCGGCUUUAAGCCGUGAACGCUGUGUGCAGAGUAGCCUGCCUUGCGUGGAGAAGGUGGAUAGGGGAGCUGAUGCUCGAGAUCCCUGGCCGGGGAAGCAGAGUGAUUCUCUUGAAACCCCAUCUGCAAAAGAGGAUAAGAAACGGUUCGACUGCGGUGGAAAUCACCUAGGCUGUCCCUUGUGGGGCAACGGAGGGAUUGCAGUGCGGACUAAGUGGCAGUCGGGUAUUGCGACGCGGUAACGGCGCAAAGCAGUGCUGAAAGGGAAACCGCCUCCAUCGGCGACGAGAGGUGCGCUGCGGGGAAAACCAACCCGUACCUAAGCCGUAAGAUUUACUUCCGCUGCUGCCC
RNAcentral lists this small RNA (646 nucleotides) under bovine gut metagenome. The record is from RNAcentral.